Formica exsecta is the source of this 1128-nucleotide RNA transcript. It is a transcript of the gene named complex III assembly factor LYRM7, with no coding region annotated. The record is from RefSeq and is a predicted model, not a curated record. The transcript is spliced from 6 exons. Lineage: Eukaryota; Metazoa; Arthropoda; Insecta; Hymenoptera; Formicidae.
GAGUAGGAGACGUUUAUGUUUAUCGACAGUUAAAUAAACACAGAUAAUACGGCGAAAGACAAGUGGAACGAGCUCUAAGAAUGACAAAUUAUAUCUAAUUCAGUUUUAUAUGUAAAUAAAUGAAAAGUAACUUUUUUAAAUUACUUGUAAUAGAAUAAUUAGAAAGAUUUCCGCAUAAAUGGGCGACUGUCUACGGCGAGAGGUUCUACGAGUGUUUAAAAAACUUCAUAGAACAAGAUUGAAGACAUUUGAAGGUGAUGAGCAUGCAUUGCAAGUUGUAAGAAAGAAGAUAAAUGACGAAUACAGGAAAUAUAAAAAUGUUACAAACCAGGCGGCAAUUGAAGAGUUGAAUAAGUUUGCGCAGGAAGUCGAAUAUGAGGUGCGAACGACUGUUAUUCAGGUGGUUGAAACGGCACCUGGAAAAGUAGCACUGCGACUCACUCCAGAUGUCCUAGUGGAUAAUGUAUUGUACAAGGAUCAGGAAAAUAACAACACAGGCAAAGAAAACAGAGCUCAAACUUGUGAAAAAUAUACAACAUUGAAAAAUACGAAGCAAUAAUUUCUUGAGACUAUGAAAAGUAUUAAGAGUUUAAAAAUGGCUUACAAUUACAUGUGGAUUGCUGUUCCUACAAGAGUCCGAUUGAAUGUAUUCUAAAUGAACUAUGCACUUCCCUCUUCUAAUCUCAUCCUGGAACAUGUGGAAAUUGCUUCACAUAUUUUUUCUAUGGUUGUAACACCGUGAUUAUGCGCACCUUAUCUUUCUUAAAGAUUUUACAUAAUUAUUUGUGUAUACAAGGAAGGAGAAUUAUGGAAUAGAAAUUAUUACAAUUUCUAUUUGAUUUUUACUUGAAAAUAUAGUUUGAAGAGCACACAAGCUGGCGAGGAAAAGGACUUAAUACAUGUAAAGGGUCUUUGGAGCAAACCUGAGGAGAUACAGUCAAUGAAAAUAGUAUUCUUUUGUUAAUUGGUUACAAUAAUAUGAAAUUAAUUGCCAUUUUUAGGAUUUCCGAUUUUGCAAAAUUUAUUUCGAUUUGAUCAAAAUAAAAAAAUAUUUCCUGAAAAGCUAUUUAAAGUGGAUCAACAGUAAUUCAAUAAAAUUCACUAAAUGUAAUAAACGCUAAUGGAGUA